AACUUUUGGCAACGGAUCACUUGGUUCUGGCAUCGAUGAAGAACGCAGCGAAAUGCAAUAAGUAAUGCGAAUUGCAGAAUUCAGUGAGUCAUCGAAUCUUUGAACGCAUAUUGCGCCCUUUGGUAUUCCGAAGGGCAUGCCUGUUCGAGCGUCAUUAUCAACCAUCAAGCCUGGCUUGUCGUUGGACCCCUUUGUCGUUGAAAUAUAUGAUAGGUCCGAAAGAUAAUGACGGCGUCGUGUUUGACCCUAGAUGCAACGAGCUUUUUAUAGCACGCAUUGAAGUGGUCGGCCGACCCAGUCUUUAACCAUCAUUUUCUAAGGUUGACCUCGGAUCAGGUAGGAAUACCCGCUGAACUUAAGCAUAUCAAUAAGCGGAGGCU
Molecule: unclassified non-coding RNA, 380 nt
Filed under: uncultured Verrucariales
Lineage: Eukaryota; Fungi; Ascomycota; Eurotiomycetes; Verrucariales
Description: sequence contains ITS2
Rfam family: 5.8S ribosomal RNA (bases 1-154)
Source: RNAcentral